GCGCCCGUGGUGAAAUGGAUAUCAUACAAGAUUUCGGCUCUUGCGUUCCGGGUUCGAAUCCUGGCGGGCGCGCCA
This 75-nucleotide transfer RNA is filed under the name Bacillus daqingensis. Its description in RNAcentral is "tRNA-Arg". It matches the Rfam family "tRNA". Rfam says of the family: Transfer RNA (tRNA) molecules are approximately 80 nucleotides in length. Their secondary structure includes four short double-helical elements and three loops (D, anti-codon, and T loops). The record is from RNAcentral. Lineage: Bacteria; Bacillati; Bacillota; Bacilli; Caryophanales; Bacillaceae. RNAcentral also lists the same sequence under 1 other name.